UACACACAUCCAACUGGUUCUGUGUCUCUGGAGAACCCUGAGCAAUAUACUUUCUCUAAAGGAGAAGACUGGGUGGACACAUUUCUUCUAAACCACCUUUCACUGCCAUCACCACACCCAGCAGUGAGGCUUGCGCGACUUACACGCUUCACAAGUAAUUGAGUGAGAACCAACAACUAGGCGGAAAAUGCUUCAUGGCUUUGCCAGAUAUGAUAUUUAUUUAAACUACUGCUUUGUUCCCGUCUAAGUCAUUGGAUCUAAUGGAAAAGAACAGAAAUUGACUGGAGUAAAUCAAGGGCCCACUCUAAUUAUGAGAAAAACCUCAGACAAAUCCCACCUGAACAACACUCUACAAAAUAACUUACCAGUACUCCUCGAAACUGUCAAGGUCAUCAAAAACAAGGAAAGUCUGAGAAAUCAUCAUAAUCAGGAGGAACUUAAGGAGACAUAAUGAUGAAAUGUAAUGUGAUGUCCUAAAUGGGAUCCUGCAGCAGAAAAUGACAUCAAGCAAAAACUAAGGAAAUCUGAAAUAAGUGAAUAGUGAGCUCCAGUGCAAUGUUGAAGAGAAGUGAUGAGAGUGAACAGUGUUGCCUUGCUC
This is a long non-coding RNA of Orcinus orca (killer whale), 598 nucleotides long. RefSeq lists it as uncharacterized. The transcript has 3 exons. Lineage: Eukaryota; Metazoa; Chordata; Mammalia; Artiodactyla; Delphinidae. The record is from RefSeq and is a predicted model, not a curated record.